AACCAAGCGAGGGGGUCGCGCUAACGC
This 27-nucleotide small RNA is filed under the name Bombyx mori (domestic silkworm). RNAcentral's name for it is "ovarian small RNA-10275". The record is from RNAcentral. Lineage: Eukaryota; Metazoa; Arthropoda; Insecta; Lepidoptera; Bombycidae.